RNAcentral lists this ribosomal RNA (253 nucleotides) under uncultured bacterium. RNAcentral describes it as "partial 16S ribosomal RNA". It matches the Rfam family "Bacterial small subunit ribosomal RNA", at positions 524 to 776 of the family's 1533-position model. The record is from RNAcentral. RNAcentral also lists the same sequence under 1 other name.
UACGUAGGAUGCAAGCGUUAUCCGGAAUGACUGGGCGUAAAGGGUGCGUAGGUGGUUUGUCAAGUUGGCAGCGUAAUUCCGUGGCUUAACCGCGGAACUACUGCCAAAACUGAUAGGCUUGAGUGCGGCAGGGGUAUGUGGAAUUCCUAGUGUAGCGGUGGAAUGCGUAGAUAUUAGGAGGAACACCGGUGGCGAAAGCGACAUACUGGGCCGUAACUGACACUGAAGCACGAAAGCGUGGGGAGCAAACAGG